GCAGACGGCGAAGCUCACGUUCUCAGGAAAGGGUGGUGGGGGCCCGGGGUGCGUGAGAGGCGCCUGGGCGCAGGCGCAGACGACGGGGGUCGAGUUGGGCAGGCGGUAGGGGCGACCUGGGAGAAGGUCCCUGCUGCAGACGUGGAAAUGCAUCUUGUUCCAGUACAUCACAUUCCAGGGAGCAAAGAAUUCUUUUACAAAGCCGGGUGUCAUCAUUUUCUUAGAAGAAGAACCAUUGCAACAGGGCUCAAAGUUGACUCUGCUGGAAAGGCAAGGGACAGGGAAAUGAUGAUAACAUAAGCAGCCGGCUGUGUCAUUCCUUCCAUUUGUAUCCAGAUUCUCUCAUCAAAAUUGACUAGAAGGGUGGCGUGACUCACGGAGAGAAGGAAGAUCGGUGUGGUGUGGCAGCCCACCUGAGAGCCACCGCAACCCCCUACCCCCAGCCAAGGGACGCAGUGAGUGAGCAUGCCACCCAGCCUAGGAAACUGUGCUUAUCCCACGGAAGUAUGCAACCCACGGAUCGGAAGAUCCCAGUCACGAACCCACCCCACCAGGGCCUAGCCUCCCAACCCUGGAACACGCAGAUUCUUACAUCCUCUCAGCUGGAAUCUGCUUAAGCCUGAGGAACUCCUAAUGGGAGGGGCGACUUGCACCUGCUUCAGCUGCCUGCUCUCUAAGCCUUUUAGCCUCAUGGGGGAGGGGCAGCAGCCAGUACUGGGACUCGCAACUGCCUAACAAGCUAAGCUCCAUGGGCAGGGGAAGGGUGCCACCCAUUUCUAUAGCUCCAGGCUGCGUUUUUCUGCUGGUGGAGCCAAGGAGGCUGGACAGCUUGGUCCCAAGACUUGUCCCACAGCUCAACGCAUGGGCUGUGCCAGUCUGUGGCCAGAGUGCCUCUUCAGGUCUAACCCUGACCCAUCCUUCUUCAGUGGGCGGGGCUUCCCUGCAGAAUCUCCAAUAACUCCAGCCAGAGGAUCUCCCUGGGCCUGAGCCCCCAGGGGGAGGGGUGGCCACAGUCUGCAGAUCAGCAGACUUAGCCUCUCCUCUUGGUAGUUCUGAGGAAUCUGGGCAGCCUAGACAAGUGGGCUUCCCCCAGUGAAACACACCCUCUCCACCAAGGGACAAAGUGCUUUGUUAAAUGGGUCCUGCUCCCUGUGUCACCCAACUGGGUGAGACCCUCCAGCAGGGGUUGUUAGACACCCCAUACAGGGGCAAUCCUACUGGCAUCAGGUUGGUGCCCCUUGAGGUCAGAGGUCCCAGAAGAAGGAGGAGGAAAACAUCUUGGCUGCUCUCCAGCCUUGUCGAGUGGCAUUUCCAGGCACAGGACCGAAUCAGAUGAAUAAGACCUGAAAUGAACCCCCAGCAAAUUGCAGCCACCCUACAGAAGAGGGACCUGACUAUUGAAAGAAAGUAAACAAGCAGAAAGGAACAACAACAGCAUCAACAACAACAACAACAACAAAAAGGCCCGCAUAAAAACCCCAUCCAAGGGUCAGCAGCCUCAAAAACCAAAACUAGACAAACUCAUGAAGAUGAGAAAGAAUCAAUGAAAAAAUGCUGAAAACUCAAAAGGCCAGAGUGCCUCCUCUUCUCCAAAUGAUCCCAACAUCUCUCCAUCAAGGGCACAGAACUGGACAGAGAAUCAGAUGGACGAAUUGACAGAAGUAGGAUUCAGAAGAUGGGUAAUAAAAAACUAUGAUGAGCUUUUUUUUUUUUUAUGAGCUAAACAAGCAUGUUCUAACCCAACAUGAAGAAGCUAAGAACCUUGAUAAAACAUUAGAGGAAUUGAUAACUAGAAUAACCAGUUUAGAAAGGAACAUAAAUGACCUGAUGAAGCUGAAAAACACAGCAAGAGAACUUUGUGAAGCAUACCGAAGUAUCAACAGCUGAACUGGCCAAGUGGAAAAAAGAAUAUCAGAGUUUGAAGACCACGUUUACUGAAAUAAGACAUGCAGACAAGAAUAGAGAAAAAAAGAA
Long non-coding RNA from Homo sapiens (human), 1974 nucleotides. RefSeq lists it as uncharacterized. The transcript has 3 exons. NCBI's taxonomy places the organism in Eukaryota, Metazoa, Chordata, Mammalia, Primates, Hominidae. The record is from RefSeq and is a predicted model, not a curated record.